Non-coding RNA from Danio rerio (zebrafish), 481 nucleotides. The record is from RefSeq and is a predicted model, not a curated record. Lineage: Eukaryota; Metazoa; Chordata; Actinopteri; Cypriniformes; Danionidae.
CAUCAAGGAAACAGGAUCAAAAGAUCAUUUAUUAUAGGCCGUUUCAUAGUUGGUUAUAUUUUUUAGGUUCUCCUGAUCAUUCUGUUCUCCUGGUUGUGAGGAUGUGCAGAGGCUGUAUUUGUCAGUGUUAAAAGACUUGUGCAGGUGUAUCCAGACAUACAAGCAGCCGACAAAGAGUUCUGGAGCAGGACAGACAGAUUGGUGUACGCUGAUGGUCUGCUGAGAAUUCUGCUGAGUUGAAGGGAUCCUCCUGUCAGACAACCUCUCCAAAGUACAACAGGACUAGGUUCCCACUACAAGGAUUAGAUUUGGCUACUGCAGUCCCGGUUUGGGCCAGCCUCACUUGUGAAGACUAAAGAUGAAGACAACAUACAAGAACAAUUUAGAGAAUGGCGACACAUUUUUUAUUCCACCUAUUUAUCCCCUUUUAUGUGUAAGCAACAUUCCACAAGAUAACUAAAUGGCAGCUUAUUUCUUUUCA